RNAcentral lists this ribosomal RNA (253 nucleotides) under uncultured bacterium. RNAcentral describes it as "partial 16S ribosomal RNA". It matches the Rfam family "Bacterial small subunit ribosomal RNA", at positions 524 to 776 of the family's 1533-position model. The record is from RNAcentral.
UACGUAGGGUGCAAGCGUUGUCCGGAAUUAUUGGGCGUAAAGAGCUCGUAGGCGGUUUGUCGCGUCGAAUGUGAAAACCCGGGGCUCAACCCCGGGCCUGCAUUCGAUACGGGCAGACUAGAGUCCGGUAGGGGAGUCUGGAAUUCCUGGUGUAGCGGUGAAAUGCGCAGAUAUCAGGAGGAACACCGGUGGCGAAGGCGGGACUCUGGGCCGAUACUGACGCUGAGGAGCGAAAGCGUGGGGAGCAAACAGG